CGCGGCGAAGGGCCUCGGGGACCGCAUCCGGCUGGAGGCCGGAGACGCCGGCGCGUACACCGCCGAGGACCCGUUCGACCUGGUCCUCUGCGUC
This 94-nucleotide transfer RNA is filed under the name Streptomyces poonensis. RNAcentral describes it as "tRNA-Ser". The record is from RNAcentral. Lineage: Bacteria; Bacillati; Actinomycetota; Actinomycetes; Kitasatosporales; Streptomycetaceae.